CAGCCGCCGCGGUAAUUCCAGCCCCGCGAGCGGUCGGGACUCUUAUUGGGCCUAAAGCGCCCGUAGCCGGCCCGGUGUGUCCCCUCCUAAAUCCCCGGGCUUAACCCGGGGACUGGAGGGGAUACUACCGGGCUAGGGGGCGGGAGAGGCCGAGGGUACUCCCGGGGUAGGGGCGAAAUCCUAUAAUCCCGGGAGGACCACCAGUGGCGAAGGCGCUCGGCUGGAACGCGCCCGACGGUGAGGGGCGAAAGCCGGGGGAGCGAACCGGAUUAGAUACCCGGGUAGUCCCGGCUGUAAACGAUGCGGGCUAGGUGUUGGGUGGGCUUAGAGCCCACCCAGUGCCGCAGGGAAGCCGUUAAGCCCGCCGCCUGGGGAGUACGGCCGCAAGGCUGAAACUUAAAGGAAUUGGCGGG
RNAcentral lists this ribosomal RNA (413 nucleotides) under uncultured microorganism. RNAcentral describes it as "bacterial SSU rRNA". It matches the Rfam family "Archaeal small subunit ribosomal RNA", at positions 459 to 872 of the family's 1478-position model. The record is from RNAcentral.